This 28-nucleotide non-coding RNA is filed under the name Homo sapiens (human). The record is from RNAcentral. Lineage: Eukaryota; Metazoa; Chordata; Mammalia; Primates; Hominidae.
GGCUUGGUGAUGCCCUGGAUAUUGUCGC